GAAAUGCGAUAAGUAAUGUGAAUUGCAGAAUUCCGUGAAUCAUCGAAUCUUUGAAUGCACAUUGCGCCCUCUGGCAUUCCGGGGGACAUGCCUGUCCGAGCGUCAUUACGCACCCUCAAGCCCGGCUUGUGUGAUGGGCCCUGGCGUCUCGUUCGCGAGACGGGCCCGAAAGGCAGCGGCGGCGUCGACCCGAUGAGCCCGAGCGUAUGGGGACUUUUGUCACACGUUUGCGGUGCGGACCGGCGCCUGCUUGACUUUUCUGAUUAUCCAGGUUGACCUCGGAUCGGGUAGGGAUACCCGCUGAACUUAAGC
Molecule: unclassified non-coding RNA, 312 nt
Filed under: plant metagenome
Description: partial contains 5.8S ribosomal RNA, internal transcribed spacer 2, and large subunit ribosomal RNA
Rfam family: 5.8S ribosomal RNA (bases 1-105)
Source: RNAcentral